RNAcentral lists this ribosomal RNA (245 nucleotides) under uncultured bacterium. Its description in RNAcentral is "partial 16S ribosomal RNA". It matches the Rfam family "Bacterial small subunit ribosomal RNA", at positions 524 to 768 of the family's 1533-position model. The record is from RNAcentral.
UACGUAGGUGGCGAGCGUUGUCCGGAAUUACUGGGUGUAAAGGGCGUGUAGGCGGGAUAUCAAGUCAGAUGUGAAAACCCAGGGCUCAACCCUGGACCUGCAUCUGAAACUGAUGUUCUUGAGUGCUGGAGAGGAAAGCGGAAUUCCUAGUGUAGCGGUGAAAUGCGUAGAUAUUAGGAGGAACACCAGUGGCGAAGGCGGCUUUCUGGACAGUAACUGACGCUGAGGCGCGAAAGCGUGGGGAG